RNAcentral lists this long non-coding RNA (573 nucleotides) under Homo sapiens (human). Its description in RNAcentral is "HSALNT0088673". Lineage: Eukaryota; Metazoa; Chordata; Mammalia; Primates; Hominidae. The record is from RNAcentral.
GUUUAUGGAUCCAGUAGCUUCUGCUCCAGUGAUCAAUUGCUGAUACAGAAAACAACAGAAGACCCUAUUGGAGGACAUGCCACCCAGAGCUAGUCUACAUGUUGCGCCUCAGUGUCAUUUCAUGACCAGAGUAUCAGUUCCAAGGACAGCCAUGGAAACUGAGCCAGUUUCCAGUUCCAAGAUGGUCGAAUAGGAACAGCUCCAGUCUGCAGCUCCCAGCAUGAUUGACACAGAAGACGGUGAUUUCUGCAUUUCCAACUGAGAAUUGUGUGACAAUGACUUUUGGACAUUUGUUCUUUCGGCUUUGGAAUAUUUACACAAGAAUGGAGAAGGAACAUCCAACUGGAGCAUAAUUGUCAAGGCAAUAGAGAAUUUAGAGAAAUAAAAUAGCUGCAUAUCUCAAAAGAGUGCCUGAUGCUUUCUUUUUACUUUAAAGUAUUUAUACUAAGGUAAAGUGCUGAUGCAUCAAAAUUGCCUUCACUUUUCCUCGUGACAAUAAAAGACUUUAAUAAUGGUAAUGCUAGAAUUAACUGAUGUCAGUAACACAUGCAUCUUUAUUUCACUCAAAAUCUC